This 408-nucleotide ribosomal RNA is filed under the name uncultured bacterium. Its description in RNAcentral is "bacterial SSU rRNA". It matches the Rfam family "Bacterial small subunit ribosomal RNA", at positions 84 to 491 of the family's 1533-position model. The record is from RNAcentral.
CCUGGUGGCGAGUGGCGAACGGGUGAGUAAUACAUCGGAACAUGUCCUGUAGUGGGGGAUAGCCCGGCGAAAGCCGGAUUAAUCCCGCAUACGAUCUACGGAUGAAAGCGGGGGACCUUCGGGCCUCGCGCUAUAGGGUUGGCCAGAUGGCUGAUUAGCUAGUUGGUGGGGUAAAGGCCUACCAAGGCGACGAUCAGUAGCUGGUCUCGAGAGGCCGCCAGCCACACUGGGACUAAGACCGGCCCAGACUCCUACGGGAGGCAGCAGUGGGGAAUUUUGGACAAUGGGCGAAAGCCUGAUCCAGCAAUGCCGCGUGUGUGAAGAAGGCCUUCGGGUUGUAAAGCACUUUUGUGCCGGAAAGAAAUCCAUGGUUACUAAUAUAGCCGGGGGAUGACGGUGCUGAAGAAU